AUUUCCUUGGUGGAAUGGUAGACACGUCGGGUUUAAGCCUCGAUCUUUCUAGGUAUCGGUUCAAGUCCGAUAGGAAAUA
Molecule: transfer RNA, 79 nt
Filed under: Prasinococcus sp. CCMP1194
Lineage: Eukaryota; Viridiplantae; Prasinodermophyta; Palmophyllophyceae; Prasinococcales; Prasinococcaceae
Description: tRNA-Leu
Rfam family: tRNA
About the family: Transfer RNA (tRNA) molecules are approximately 80 nucleotides in length.
Source: RNAcentral